GCGGACGGGUGAGUAAUGCUUAGGAAUCUGCCUAUUAGUGGGGGACAACAUUCCGAAAGGGAUGCUAAUACCGCAUACGUCCUACGGGAGAAAGCAGGGGAUCUUCGGACCUUGCGCUAAUAGAUGAGCCUAAGUCGGAUUAGCUAGUUGGUGGGGUAAAGGCCUACCAAGGCGACGAUCUGUAGCGGGUCUGAGAGGAUGAUCCGCCACACUGGGACUGAGACACGGCCCAGACUCCUACGGGAGGCAGCAGUGGGGAAUAUUGGACAAUGGGGGGAACCCUGAUCCAGCCAUGCCGCGUGUGUGAAGAAGGCCUUAUGGUUGUAAAGCACUUUAAGCGAGGAGGAGGCUACUGAGACUAAUACUCUUGGAUAGUGGACGUUACUCGCAGAAUAAGCACCGGCUAACUCUGUGCCAGCAGCC
This 423-nucleotide ribosomal RNA is filed under the name uncultured bacterium. RNAcentral describes it as "bacterial SSU rRNA". It matches the Rfam family "Bacterial small subunit ribosomal RNA", at positions 98 to 516 of the family's 1533-position model. The record is from RNAcentral.